Molecule: ribosomal RNA, 488 nt
Filed under: uncultured bacterium
Lineage: Bacteria
Description: bacterial SSU rRNA
Rfam family: Bacterial small subunit ribosomal RNA
Source: RNAcentral
AUUGAACGCUGGCGGCAUGCUUUACACAUGCAAGUCGAACGGCAGCGCGGGGGCAACCCUGGCGGCGAGUGGCGAACGGGUGAGUAAUGCAUCGGAACGUAUCCUGUAAUGGGGGAUAACGUAGCGAAAGUUACGCUAAUACCGCAUACGCUCGAGAGAGGAAAGUGGGGGAUCGCAAGACCUCACGUUAUAGGAGCGGCCGAUGUCCGAUUAGCUAGUUGGUGGGGUAAAGGCCUACCAAGGCGACGAUCUAUAGCUGGUCUGAGAGGAUGAUCAGCCACACUGGGACUGAGACACGGCCCAGACUCCUACGGGAGGCAGCAGUGGGGAAUAUUGGACAAUGGGCGAAAGCCUGAUCCAGCAAUACCGCGUGAGUGAUGAAGGCCUUAGGGUUGUAAAGCCCUUUUAGUAGGGAAGAUAAUGACGGUACCUACAGAAAAGACCCCGGCUAACCUCCGUGCCAGCAGCCGCGGUAAAGUCGUCCAUGU